GACGAACGCUGGCGGCGUGCUUAACACAUGCAAGUCGAACGGAAAGGCUCCAGCUUGCUGGAGUACUCGAGUGGCGAACGGGUGAGUAACACGUGGGUAAUCUGCCCUGCACUCUGGGAUAAGCCUGGGAAACUGGGUCUAAUACUGGAUAUGACCUUUCUCCUUAUGGGGUUUGGUGGAAAGUUUUUCGGUGUAGGAUGAGCCCGCGGCCUAUCAGCUUGUUGGUGGGGUGAUGGCUUACCAAGGCGACGACGGGUAGCCGGCCUGAGAGGGUGAUCGGCCACAUUGGGACUGAGAUACGGCCCAGACUCCUACGGGAGGCAGCAGUGGGGAAUAUUGCACAAUGGGCGGAAGCCUGAUGCAGCGACGCCGCGUGAGGGAUGACGGCCUUCGGGUUGUAAACCUCUUUCAGCAGGGACGAAGCGUAAGAGACGGUACCUGCAGAAGAAGCACCGGCUAACUAUGUG
Molecule: ribosomal RNA, 467 nt
Filed under: uncultured bacterium
Lineage: Bacteria
Description: partial 16S ribosomal RNA
Rfam family: Bacterial small subunit ribosomal RNA
Source: RNAcentral